This 2207-nucleotide ribosomal RNA is filed under the name Bacteroides ovatus. RNAcentral describes it as "bacterial LSU rRNA". It matches the Rfam family "Bacterial large subunit ribosomal RNA", at positions 537 to 2759 of the family's 2925-position model. The record is from RNAcentral. Lineage: Bacteria; Pseudomonadati; Bacteroidota; Bacteroidia; Bacteroidales; Bacteroidaceae.
AGUGAAAUAGUCCCUGAAACCGUGCGCCUACAAGCGGUCGGAGCUGUGUAAACAGUGACGGCGUGCCUUUUGCAUAAUGAACCUACGAGUUACUUUUUCCGGCAAGGUUAAGGAUCUUGAGAUCUGCAGCCGAAGCGAAAGCGAGUCUUAACAGGGCGAUUAGUCGGAAGGAGUAGACGCGAAACCAAGUGAUCUACCCUUGGUCAGGUUGAAGGUUAGGUAACACUAACUGGAGGACCGAACCGAUAAGCGUUGAAAAGCUUCCGGAUGAACUGAGGGUGGGGGUGAAAGGCUAAUCAAACUUGGAGAUAGCUCGUACUCCCCGAAAUGCAUUUAGGUGCAGCCUUGGGAAUUACUACUGUGAGGUAGAGCGACUGAUAAGAUGCGAGGGCUUCACCGCCUAUCAAGUCUUGAUAAACUCCGAAUGCGCAGUAGUUCGAUCCCAGGAGUGAGGGCAUGGGUGCUAAGGUCCAUGUCCUAAAGGAGAAGAAUCCAGACCAUCAGCUAAGGUCCCGAAAUAAUUGCUAAGUUGAACUAACGAAGUCAGAUUGCUAAGACAGCUAGGAUGUUGGCUUGGAAGCAGCCAUUCAUUUAAAGAGUGCGUAACAGCUCACUAGUCGAGGAGUUUGGCGUGGAUAAUAAUCGGGCAUUAAGCAAUUUACCGAAGCUAUGGGAUCAGUAAUGAUCGGUAGGGGAGCAUUCCACUCUGCGUCGAAGGUGAAGCGUGAGCUUUGCUGGAGCGUGUGGAAAAGCAAAUGUAGGUAUAAGUAACGAUAAAGGGGGUGAGAAACCCCCUCGCCGAAAGACUAAGGUUUCCUGAUCAACGCUAAUCGGAUCAGGGUUAGUCGGGUCCUAAGGCUCAGCCGAACGGUGAGGCCGAUGGCAGAACAGGUUAAUAUUCCUGUACUACCUUAAGGAGUGACGUGGAGACGGAGGAGUGACAGCGCCGCGGACUGACGGAAUAGUCCGUUGAAGGGUGUAGAUGUUGAUUAUCCCAGGCAAAUCCAGGAUAAGAGUCGAACCUGAUAGUAUACCAAAUUCUUCGGAAUAAGGUAAUAGUGCGUGUAAGCAUACUCCCAAGAAAAUCCGCUAAACUUAAUCUUUAAGGUACCCGUACCGCAAACGGACACACGUAGUCGGGUUGAAUAUACUAAGGCGCUUGAGUGAUUCACGGUUAAGGAACUAGGCAAAUUGACCCUGUAACUUCGGGAUAAAGGGUCCCAACGAGAGUUGGGCGCAGAGAAUAGGUCCAGGCAACUGUUUAACAAAAACACAGGGCUGUGCUAAAUUGAAAGAUUACGUAUACAGCCUGACACCUGCCCGGUGCUGGAAGGUUAAGAGGAGAUGUCAUCGCAAGAGAAGCAUUGAAUUGAAGCCCCAGUAAACGGCGGCCGUAACUAUAACGGUCCUAAGGUAGCGAAAUUCCUUGUCGGGUAAGUUCCGACCUGCACGAAUGGUGUAAUGAUCUGGACACUGUCUCAACCGUGAGCUCAGUGAAAUUGUAGUAUCGGUGAAGAUGCCGAUUACCCGCGAUGGGACGAAAAGACCCCGUGAACCUUUACUAUAGCUUAACAUUGAAUUUGGGUAAUUGAUGUGUAGGAUAGGCCGGAGACUUUGAAGCAGGUACGCCAGUAUUUGUGGAGUCGCUGUUGAAAUACGGCCCUUUGAUUAUUUGAGUUCUAACUCGUAGAUGCGAGGACACUGUUUGGUGGGUAGUUUGACUGGGGUGGUCGCCUCCAAAAGUGUAACGGAGGCUUCUAAAGGUGCCCUCAGGACGAUUGGUAACCGUCCGUAGAGUGUAAUGGCAUAAGGGCGCUUGACUGGGAGACAGACAAGUCGAUCAGGUAGGAAACUAGAGCAUAGUGAUCCGGUGUUUCCGUAUGGAAGGGACAUCGCUCAAAGGAUAAAAGGUACUCCGGGGAUAACAGGCUGAUCCCUCCCAAGAGCUCAUAUCGACGGAGGGGUUUGGCACCUCGAUGUCGGCUCGUCACAUCCUGGGGCUGGAGAAGGUCCCAAGGGUUGGGCUGUUCGCCCAUUAAAGUGGCACGCGAGCUGGGUUCAGAACGUCGUGAGACAGUUCGGUCUCUAUCUAUCGUGGGCGUAUGAAAUUUGCGUGGCUCUGACACUAGUACGAGAGGACCGUGUUGGACUGACCGCUGGUUUACCAGUUGUGCCGCCAGGUGCAUUGCUGGGUAUCUAAGUCGGGA